Molecule: ribosomal RNA, 253 nt
Filed under: uncultured bacterium
Lineage: Bacteria
Description: partial 16S ribosomal RNA
Rfam family: Bacterial small subunit ribosomal RNA
Source: RNAcentral
UACGUAGGCAGCAAACGUUGUUCGGAAUUACUGGGCGUAAAGAGUGUGUAGGCGGUUCUGUAAGUUUGGUGUGAAAUCUCCCGGCUUAACUGGGAGGGUGCGCCGAAAACUGCAAGGCUUGAGUGCUGGAGAGGAUAGCGGAAUUCCUGGUGUAGCGGUGAAAUGCGUAGAUAUCAGGAGGAACACCGGCGGUGUAGACGGCUAUCUGGACAGUAACUGACGCUGAGACACGAAAGCGUGGGGAGCAACCAGG